UAGGUUUGCCUUAAGCCAAACUUCUCUUUGACUUAGUUUUUAGAAAAGUAUACUAACAUCUACAAGUUUAAAUAGAUGCACUAUCAUGACAUAUUCCAUAGAGAAUUUAAUGAAACUAAUUCGAUGUUGUAAACGUUGGUACAUUUUUCUAUAAACUUCCUAAAGUUAGAGAAGUUUGACAUAGGCACGUUAAA
RNAcentral lists this microRNA precursor (194 nucleotides) under Sorghum bicolor (sorghum). RNAcentral's name for it is "MIR1435 microRNA precursor family". It matches the Rfam family "MIR1435 microRNA precursor family". The record is from Rfam by way of RNAcentral. Lineage: Eukaryota; Viridiplantae; Streptophyta; Magnoliopsida; Poales; Poaceae.